RNAcentral lists this ribosomal RNA (1347 nucleotides) under uncultured bacterium. RNAcentral describes it as "bacterial SSU rRNA". It matches the Rfam family "Bacterial small subunit ribosomal RNA", at positions 28 to 1381 of the family's 1533-position model. The record is from RNAcentral.
GACGAACGCUGGCUGCGUGCUUAACACAUGCAAGUCGAACGCUGAAGCCUGGUGCUUGCACCGGGUGGAUGAGUGGCGAACGGGUGAGUAACACGUGAGUAACCUGCCCCUGACUUCGGGAUAAGCCCGGGAAACUGGGUCUAAUACCGGAUACGACUGCCGGACGCAUGUCUGGUGGUGGAAAGUUUUUUCGGUUGGGGAUGGGCUCGCGGCCUAUCAGUUUGUUGGUGAGGUAAUGGCUCACCAAGACGACGACGGGUAGCCGGCCUGAGAGGGCGACCGGCCACACUGGGACUGAGACACGGCCCAGACUCCUACGGGAGGCAGCAGUGGGGAAUAUUGCACAAUGGGGGAAACCCUGAUGCAGCGACGCAGCGUGCGGGAUGACGGCCUUCGGGUUGUAAACCGCUUUCAGCAGGGAAGAAGCGCAAGUGACGGUACCUGCAGAAGAAGUACCGGCUAACUACGUGCCAGCAGCCGCGGUAAUACGUAGGGUACGAGCGUUGUCCGGAAUUAUUGGGCGUAAAGAGCUCGUAGGUGGUUGGUCACGUCUGCUGUGGAAACGCAACGCUUAACGUUGCGCGUGCAGUGGGUACGGGCUGACUAGAGUGCAGUAGGGGAGUCUGGAAUUCCUGGUGUAGCGGUGAAAUGCGCAGAUAUCAGGAGGAACACCGGUGGCGAAGGCGGGACUCUGGGCUGUAACUGACACUGAGGAGCGAAAGCAUGGGGAGCGAACAGGAUUAGAUACCCUGGUAGUCCAUGCCGUAAACGUUGGGCACUAGGUGUGGGGGGCAUUCCACGUUCUCCGCGCCGUAGCUAACGCAUUAAGUGCCCCGCCUGGGGAGUACGGUCGCAAGGCUAAAACUCAAAGGAAUUGACGGGGGCCCGCACAAGCGGCGGAGCAUGCGGAUUAAUUCGAUGCAACGCGAAGAACCUUACCAAGGCUUGACAUACACCGGACCGUCCUGGAAACAGGUCUUCUUCUUUGAAGCUGGUGUACAGGUGGUGCAUGGUUGUCGUCAGCUCGUGUCGUGAGAUGUUGGGUUAAGUCCCGCAACGAGCGCAACCCUCGUUCUAUGUUGCCAGCACGUGAUGGUGGGAACUCAUAGGAGACUGCCGGGGUCAACUCGGAGGAGGGUGGGGAUGACGUCAAAUCAUCAUGCCCUUUAUGUCUUGGGCUUCACGCAUGCUACAAUGGCUGGUACAGAGAGAGGCGAACCCGUGAGGGCAAGCGAAUCCCUUAAAGCCAGUCUCAGUUCGGAUCGUAGUCUGCAAUUCGACUACGUGAAGUCGGAGUCGCUAGUAAUCGCAGAUCAGCAACGCUGCGGUGGAUACGUUCCCGGGCCU